UUGUGGAGGAGGACGCCGAAGGUGGGGCUGAUGACUGGGGUGAAGUCGUAACAAGGUAGCCGUACCGGAAGGUGCGGCUGGAUCACCUCCUAACAGGGAGACAACAACUGAUCGUGAUGUCUGAGUUAAUUUAUUCUUAGGCCAUGAUCCUGUUACCUUAGGUCGAUCGGUACCUCAAGUUGAUGAAACUAAGGACUUAAGAAGUUUCUUAUUUUCUUGAUUUCAGUUCCUAAACUUUGUCUAGGUCACACCCAGCAAGGGUACUCCUGGGCCAUUGGCUCAGGUGGUUAGAGCGCACCCCUGAUAAGGGUGAGGUCCCUGGUUCAAGUCCAGGAUGGCCCAUUCGUGUUGGGGGUAUAGCUCAGUUGGUAGAGCGCCUGCUUUGCAAGCAGGAUGUCAGCGGUUCGAGUCCGCUUACCUCCACUGAUCACACUCCUAAUGGCGAUUUUAAGGAGAUUCUUUUGUUUUUGUGAUUUAGACUUUAUUGUCACUGAAUCAAUGAACCUAGCUUCCUAUCAUUCUAGAUCUAAUUAUUAAAUUAAAUCAGGUUGACAGGACGCUGGGCUCACUUUAAAUCUUUUGAUUUAAGUGAUUUCAGUAGAACCUUGACAACUGCAUAGGUGAGUCUGGAAAGAAUAAAGCAUCUCAUGGAUACAUUAUUCUUAUUAAUUUCGUGCAAUUUUCUUAAGAAGAUUGAUUUCGAAAGUUGAUAAGAUUAAUGUUUAAUUCUUGAGCAAGAGCCGAGACUCUAUAGUUAUUUUUAAUACUAGAAAUAGUAUUAAAAAUAGAGUUUUUUAAUUAAUUAACUCUAAUAAUUUUAAUUAGCUAUAGAGAUUAUUGGUCAAGCUACAA
RNAcentral lists this unclassified non-coding RNA (852 nucleotides) under uncultured Prochlorococcus sp. RNAcentral describes it as "partial 16S-23S ribosomal RNA intergenic spacer; may also contain 16S ribosomal RNA and 23S ribosomal RNA". The stretch from base 1 to 93 matches the Rfam family "Bacterial small subunit ribosomal RNA", at positions 1441 to 1533 of the family's 1533-position model. The record is from RNAcentral. Lineage: Bacteria; Bacillati; Cyanobacteriota; Cyanophyceae; Synechococcales; Prochlorococcaceae.